Non-coding RNA from Myotis lucifugus (little brown bat), 75 nucleotides. Lineage: Eukaryota; Metazoa; Chordata; Mammalia; Chiroptera; Vespertilionidae. The record is from Rfam.
GGAGGUUCUCUGGUGAUGCACCCCAGAAUUGGGCUCCCUCCUCUCUGGUUCCGGGUGUGUCACCUGAGAACCACA